GAAAUAUGAGUUUUGGAGAAAAGAUGAAAGAAGAAUUCUUGACAAUGACAUGAUUCACCUAAAACUCUGAAUAAUUUAUUAAGCAUUAGAACAUAUAUGUAUUCUCUAAUCUGCAUUUGUUGUCUGCAUAAGUACCUACCAGAUGGAAAUAAAAAAGGGGAGCCAAUGAAAACACUAAUACUGAAAAUUUUCUUUUUUCCUGGACAAAGAACCCCAAGGACAAAUCCAAAAAAUUAAUAACAGAUCUUUCCUAAAUUAACCUAAUUGAUUUAAAUUAUCUAAAGUAAAAACCCAUUAUAAAAGAAAAAAAAAAAUAACAGUAAUCUCUUGCAAAGAAAUUCAGAUAUAGUUACGGAAACAAUAUUUUCAUCAAUAACACAAAACAACAAUCAGCACCAGCCUCUCAUUGUCCCCUUCAGAAACCAACCCUUCAACCUUUGAAAUGAAAUG
RNAcentral lists this unclassified non-coding RNA (450 nucleotides) under Hevea brasiliensis (rubber tree). Lineage: Eukaryota; Viridiplantae; Streptophyta; Magnoliopsida; Malpighiales; Euphorbiaceae. The record is from RNAcentral.